RNAcentral lists this ribosomal RNA (426 nucleotides) under uncultured bacterium. Its description in RNAcentral is "bacterial SSU rRNA". It matches the Rfam family "Bacterial small subunit ribosomal RNA", at positions 354 to 796 of the family's 1533-position model. The record is from RNAcentral.
GUGGGGAAUCUUGCGCAAUGGGCGAAAGCCUGACGCAGCAACGCCGCGUGGGGGAUGAAGGCUCUCGGGUUGUAAACCCCUUUCAGGAGGGACGAAAAUGACGGUACCUCCAGAAGAAGCCCCGGCCAACUACGUGCCAGCAGCCGCGGUAACACGUAGGGGGCGAGCGUUGUCCGGAUUUAUUGGGCGUAAAGAGCUCGUAGGCGGUUUGGCAAGUCGGGUGUGAAAUUUCGAGGCUCAACCUCGAAACGCCACUCGAUACUGCCAUGACUGGAGUCCGGUAGAGGAGUGCGGAAUUCCUGGUGUAGCGGUGAAAUGCGCAGAUAUCAGGAGGAACACCAACGGCGAAGGCAGCACUCUGGGCCGGUACUGACGCUGAGGAGCGAAAGCGUGGGGAGCAAACAGGAUUAGAUACCCUAGUAGUCC